UACGGGGGGGCAAGCGUUGUUCGGAAUUACUGGGCGUAAAGGGCUCGUAGGCGGCCAACUAAGUCAGACGUGAAAUCCCUCGGCUUAACCGGGGAACUGCAUCUGAUACUGGAUGGCUUGAGUUCGGGAGAGGGAUGUGGAAUUCCAGGUGUAGCGGUGAAAUGCGUAGAUAUCUGGAGGAACACCGGUGGCGAAGGCGGCAUCCUGGACCGACACUGACGCUGAGGAGCGAAAGCCAGGGGAGCAAACGGG
This 252-nucleotide ribosomal RNA is filed under the name uncultured bacterium. RNAcentral's name for it is "partial 16S ribosomal RNA". It matches the Rfam family "Bacterial small subunit ribosomal RNA", at positions 524 to 776 of the family's 1533-position model. The record is from RNAcentral.